RNAcentral lists this ribosomal RNA (253 nucleotides) under uncultured bacterium. RNAcentral's name for it is "partial 16S ribosomal RNA". It matches the Rfam family "Bacterial small subunit ribosomal RNA", at positions 524 to 776 of the family's 1533-position model. The record is from RNAcentral.
GACAGAGGGUGCAAACGUUGUUCGGAAUUACUGGGCGUAAAGCGCGCGUAGGCAGCAGCGUGUGUCGGGCGUGAAAUCCCACGGCUCAACCGUGGAAGUGCACUCGAAACUGCGCAGCUAGAGUCUCGGAGAGGAAGGCGGAAUGCUUGGUGUAGAGGUGAAAUUCGUAGAUAUUCGGAGGAACACCAGUGGCGAAGGCGGCUCACUGGCUCGAUACUGACGCUGAGGUGCGAAAGCGUGGGGAGCAAACAGG